Molecule: non-coding RNA, 947 nt
Filed under: Hemitheconyx taylori
Lineage: Eukaryota; Metazoa; Chordata; Lepidosauria; Squamata; Eublepharidae
Description: 12S rRNA
Rfam family: Bacterial small subunit ribosomal RNA
Source: RNAcentral
ACAGUUUUGGUCCUAAACUUUCUAUUACUUACAACAUGACCUACACAUGCAAGUCUCCGCACUCCAGUGAGAGUGCCCAAGUCCAAACCCCGAACUUUGGAGCCGGUAUCAGGCACACCCCUCGUAGCCCAAGACACCAAGCGCCGCCACACCCCCACGGGACCCAGCAGUGAUAGACCUUAAGCAAUAAGCGCUGCCCCAGCUUGACUUAGUCAUUGUCCCAAUCUAAAGCCGGUAAACUUCGUGCCAGCCACCGCGGUUAUACGAAGGGCUUAAAAUAAUAGAACCCGGCGUAAAUUGUGGCCAGAGCCCACUUCUGAGGUUAAAACCCAUGACAAGUUGUAAAAUACUACAGCCACAAAGAGAACCAACAAACCUCUACUCAACCUUGCCCCACGAAAACCAAGAAACAAACUAGGAUUAGAUACCCUACUAUGCUUGGUAGUAAACCUUGGCCGCCCCCACACAAAGCGGUCCGCCAGAGAACUACAAGUAAAAGCUUGAAACUCUAAGGACUUGGACGGUCCCCCAAACCAACCUUAGAGGAGCCUGUCCCAUAAUCGAUACCCCACGCUUUACCUUACCCUCCCUCGCCCACAUUUCAGUCUAUAUACCGCCGUCGUCAGCCAACCUUGUGAAAGACUUAAAAGUAGGCCAAAUCGCCACACGCAAAAACGUCAGGUCAAGGUGUAGCUAACGAGAGGGACGGAGAUGGGCUACAUUCUCUAAAAUAGAGAACACACCAGGUGCACAUGAAACCUGCACCAGUAAGGUGGAUUUAGAAGUAAGAGGGGUAAGACUAACCCCCCUGAAGCUUGCUCUGGGUGGCGUACACACCGCCCGUCACCCUCAUCGAUCAGUCGCACUCCCCCUAAAUAAACCAGCGCCACAGAGCCAGAUGAGGUAAGUCGUAACAUGGUAAGCGUACUGGAAAGUGCGCUUGGACA